UACGUAGGGCGCAAGCGUUAUCCGGAAUUAUUGGGCGUAAAGAGCUCGUAGGCGGUUUGUCGCGUCGAAUGUGAAAUCCCGGGGCUCAACCCCGGGUCUGCAUUCGAUACGGGCAGACUAGAGUUCGGUAGGGGAGUCUGGAAUUCCUGGUGUAGCGGUGAAAUGCGCAGAUAUCAGGAGGAACACCGGUGGCGAAGGCGGGACUCUGGGCCGAUACUGACGCUGAGGAGCGAAAGCGUGGGGAGCAAACAGG
Molecule: ribosomal RNA, 253 nt
Filed under: uncultured bacterium
Lineage: Bacteria
Description: partial 16S ribosomal RNA
Rfam family: Bacterial small subunit ribosomal RNA
Source: RNAcentral